Long non-coding RNA from Brassica napus (rape), 3000 nucleotides. RefSeq lists it as uncharacterized. The record is from RefSeq and is a predicted model, not a curated record. NCBI's taxonomy places the organism in Eukaryota, Viridiplantae, Streptophyta, Magnoliopsida, Brassicales, Brassicaceae. The transcript is spliced from 7 exons.
UGUAGAUUUUCUCAAAAGAAAAAUUGUAAAAUUUCGAAGGAAAUUGAUUAAAGUAAUCAAGAUUUUUUUUUUCCUAUAAUAGCCGAAUAACUAUGAGCUUCUUUCAAAAGUAACUUAAAAUUUAUGCUCAAAUAAAAAAAUAAUUAUUUUUGUUUUUUUUUUUUUGUUUUAUGCAUCCUAAAAAUUCAACAUUCACAGAAAUGUCAUUUCUCUUUUUUUUUUUGAAAUAUGUUAUCUUCAUCACCUUUUUACAAAAAUGAAUUAUUUUCAAUAUCACCAAUUACUAUUAACAACCAAAACCAAACUUUAAAUGCACUAGAAAUUGGUUUAUAUAUCUUUUUAUUGCAUUUCUUACACAUACAAAUCAUUUAUCUUGAAUAUUCAUCAGAAUUUUUAAAAUGGGUGCAUUUGUGUAAAGUUAUUUCUUUUUUUCAAUUCAAUUGAAUUUAUUUCUUUGUUUUUUCACAUGAAAAUAUUCUUGGUUCUCAAUAGCAAUAAGCCUUAUUAACUAUCCAAUAAAUAACAUUACAUGAACAUAUUUGUAUAUUCACAUUACAUGAUGUUAUAACAAUCAUGUUUUAAAUAUAUACUAAUAAAAUAAUUUUAAUACAUCUUACUCUUAUUUUUUUUUAUCAUAAAUGUUUACAUGAAUCAUACUUGAUGUUUUUCGACUAAUUUUAUCUAAAUAUAUAUACUAUUAAAAUUAAAUAAUUAUAUAAAAAUAGAGAAUGUUAAAAUACAUAUUUGAUUUUUAAAUAUUAAAAAUUGUAUGAAAAGUUUAGUCAAAUUCUUUCGAAAUAUUAUCAAUUUUAUAGGAUUUCUCCGGGUUAACGGUGUCGGAUCACGACUUAAUGCCGUUUUUUUGAGUUUUUACAGAGUUUAAUGAGGCUUUUAAUUAAUGGGUUUUUUUGUUAAAUAUGAACUGAAUUACUUACAGGUCACCGAGUUUACUGGUCUGACCGCAUGUUUAGGUCGAAUAUUAAAACAUUGAAACAAUUAAGCUGAAAAGUUAUUCCGCGCUUUCAAGCGCAUAUCAAAAUCUAAUAUAUUUAUUAUAUAAAUAAGUGAUGAUAUAUUAUUAUAAUCAACACGUAGGCAAUCCUUCUUUUUUUCUUCCAAUAUUUUUUUUAGUAAAAUAACAGAUGAUACAUCUAUCUUCUAUAUAUCUUUAUAAAUAAAGUUGACAUAUAUGUCUUCUCAGGCGUCCACGUCGCUCUGGAGAGGGGGGUUUUCUCGCCACGUGUCUACCAGUUUUUGAUUUUUUUUAUUCGUUUGUUCUUUUGUAGUUUUUGGGCUUACAUCAUUUAUUCAAGUGGACUUAAUGAAAUCAUGAUAGGAGCCCAAAAGUCACGGCCUCCAUCUUCAAGAAUUACGACGAUCCAUUUCUAGAGUUCAUGCUCUUCAACCUCUGAUUUGUUAAAGCGGAGGGUUAUGUGAGACGAAUAUUGAUGACUGAUUUCUGGUGAAGCUGCUGUUCGUGUCAAAGCAUCUGUCAUCUCCGUCCACUGCUUGAUUGGAGUUUCUAGCCUUCUUUGCCUCAGUGUGCGACUAGCAAUCACCAUCUCAGCUUUCCGUUGUGCGCGGUUACCACUUCUUCACUAGUAUCAGCUUCCAGUUACGAGAGGAAGUUCUAAGAAGAUGAUCAGAGGAAGAAAGUCGAAGGCUUUAGUCAACUCGGCGCAAACCCAAUAUCAAUAUGACUGAGUUGCUAUUUUCACUUUUGAUCUCAGUCCACAAGAGUGUCUGGUGGAGUACCAACUGAAAUGCAGCUUGGUCUACUGCCUCCUCUACAUUUGAGGAAGCUCUUUGAACUCAUGGGAACUACUUACAUUAAGCUGGGCCAGAAUAUGUCAGAAGAUUUUUAGAACCCUUCAACAAAGCUCCUCCAGUUCCGUUUGAAGAAGUUCAUAAAAUUUUGCAAGAGGAACUUGGUAGACCCAGAGACAGUGUAUACGAAUAUGUUGACCCUACACAACUUGCAUCAGCCUCAAUAGCACAAGUAUGUUCUUCUGCUUCUUUUUUUUUAAAUCUGAAUCCAUUGUGUCUAUGUACUCUUCUCUACGUAAAAGAAGCAUCAUGACCAGGUCCAUGAACCAUGGCGCAAGGCUUAGAGGCUAACAAGUGGAUGUCGUGAUUAAGGUCUUGAAGCCUGGAAUAAAAGAUUUCUUAGUAGCAGAUUUGAACUUUAUCAACGAUGUUGCCCCUAUACUGCUCUAUACGCUCAUAAAUGACUUGAGUUCAAGCUUCUAGACACUGUUACAGUUUGCACGCCACCAAGUUGUUAAGGAAUUGUUUCUUACUAAAUGGAUUGGGGUGCAGUUAUUGAUGGGUACUAUUCUUGGGUUUCUCAUCAAACUACUAACAUGUCUGAUCAACUCAUCAAUUUCCACUCCAUGACCAAAAAUCAGGAGUAAAAGCACCUCCAAGAUUAGGAGAUACAAGGAUCCUCAUUAAACAAACUAUUUACUAUCACUGGAGUAGCAAGAAGAGAAAGAAGAAGAGCUUUUAAGGAUUAAAGAUGUUAGAUUCAACCUGGGAAGUCAUGGGUUCGAGUACCGCUGGGAGGUGAUAAUCUUGAGGGACCUUCAGACCCAAUACGGAGAAGCCUGCUAACGUGUGGCCAUUGGUGGGAUUUACAUGGGGUGAUCACCAGCCCUUCUGGAUGCUUCGGCUGGCUCCCCGGCUAAGAUCCGGUGGACGGUCAUUGGCGCUAGUCGGAUCCUCUCGAGGCUCCGGAUACAAGGAUCAUCAAAAAAAAAAGAAGAUGUUAGAGCUGGUGAAGAGGACGCUGCAAGCAAUGACAAGAUCAACGAACAGAGAAGCAGAUUAACAAACCUGAUAUAGAGUUCCUGAACAGCAAGAUGAUCUUUGCAAACUUCCGGUGUAUUGUGUACUUUGGCUUCCGCUUUGAGUAAAAUAUGUAUAUGUUUCACAACAUGGAGUAUUCAAAGAUAUUGUAUCUGAUACCUAUUUGAAAUUCCGUUUUUUUUUUUUUUGAUA